GCCGAGGUGGUGAAAUAGGUAGACGCACUGGAUUCAAAAUCCAGCGGGCUUUUUGUCCAUGGGGGUUCGAUUCCCCCCCUCGGCA
RNAcentral lists this transfer RNA (85 nucleotides) under Candidatus Zhuqueibacterota bacterium. RNAcentral describes it as "candidate division KSB1 bacterium (microbial mat metagenome) tRNA-Leu". It matches the Rfam family "tRNA". Rfam says of the family: Transfer RNA (tRNA) molecules are approximately 80 nucleotides in length. Their secondary structure includes four short double-helical elements and three loops (D, anti-codon, and T loops). The record is from RNAcentral. Lineage: Bacteria; Pseudomonadati.